Molecule: long non-coding RNA, 200 nt
Filed under: Capsella rubella
Lineage: Eukaryota; Viridiplantae; Streptophyta; Magnoliopsida; Brassicales; Brassicaceae
Description: long non-coding RNA (CRUB_LNC003685)
Source: RNAcentral
GUCGGAUCUGGAGUCUUCCAUAACGCAACGGCAACCCCCAUUUUAUUGUUUUUUUCUUUUUUAUUAUUAUUUUUAUACGACCUCACCACACUAAACUCAUACGAUGUAUUUUUUUAGGUUAGCAUGCACAAACAGUUUUAAAAAUCUAUAGCAAAUUUUACCCUAUCUUCUAUAGUAGGCAACAGAAUAGCUAGAUAGAC